AUUUAAUUAGUUUAAAAUAAAAUAUUGAUUUGUGGAAUCAAAGUUAUAGUAUUAUUUAUAUUGAAUA
This 67-nucleotide transfer RNA is filed under the name Macrostemum floridum. RNAcentral describes it as "tRNA-His". The record is from RNAcentral. Lineage: Eukaryota; Metazoa; Arthropoda; Insecta; Trichoptera; Hydropsychidae.